CCAGACUCCUACGGGAGGCAGCAGUGAGGAAUAUUGGUCAAUGGGCGGGAGCCUGAACCAGCCAAGCCGCGUGAGGGAAGAAGGUACAGCGUAUCGUAAACCUCUUUUGUCAGGGAACAAAGGCGGGGACUAGUCCCCGGAUGAGGGUACCUGAAGAAAAAGCAUCGACUAACUCCGUGCCAGCAGCCGCGGUAAUACGGAGGAUGCGAGCGUUAUCCGGAUUUAUUGGGUUUAAAGGGUGCGCAGGCGGUCCUGCAAGUCUGGAGUGAAACGCAUGAGCUCAACUCAUGCAUGGCUUUGGAAACUGGAGGACUGGAGAGCAGGAGAGGGCGGUGGAACUCCAUGUGUAGCGGUAAAAUGCGUAGAUAUAUGGAAGAACACCAGUGGCGAAGGCGGCCGCCUGGCCUGUUGCUGACGCUGAGGCACGAAAGCGUGGGGAGCAAAUAGGAUUAGAUACCCUAGUA
This 464-nucleotide ribosomal RNA is filed under the name uncultured bacterium. RNAcentral's name for it is "bacterial SSU rRNA". It matches the Rfam family "Bacterial small subunit ribosomal RNA", at positions 331 to 792 of the family's 1533-position model. The record is from RNAcentral.